Molecule: ribosomal RNA, 492 nt
Filed under: uncultured bacterium
Lineage: Bacteria
Description: partial 16S ribosomal RNA
Rfam family: Bacterial small subunit ribosomal RNA
Source: RNAcentral
AGUGAACGCUGGCGGUAGGCCUAACACAUGCAAGUCGAACGGCAGCACAGUAAGAGCUUGCUCUUACGGGUGGCGAGUGGCGGACGGGUGAGGAAUACAUCGGAAUCUACUUUUUCGUGGGGGAUAACGCAGGGAAACUUACGCUAAUACCGCAUACGACCUACGGGUGAAAGCAGGGGAUCUUCGGACCUUGCGCGAUUGAAUGAGCCGAUGUCGGAUUAGCUAGUUGGCGGGGUAAAGGCCCACCAAGGCGACGAUCCGUAGCUGGUCUGAGAGGAUGAUCAGCCACACUGGAACUGAGACACGGUCCAGACUCCUACGGGAGGCAGCAGUGGGGAAUAUUGGACAAUGGGCGCAAGCCUGAUCCAGCCAUACCGCGUGGGUGAAGAAGGCCUUCUGGUUGUAAAGCCCUUUUGUUGGGAAAGAAAAGCAGCAGGUUAAUACCCCGCUGUUCUGACGGUACCCAAAGAAUAAGCACCGGCUAACUUCGUG